UACGUAGGGUGCAAGCGUUGUCCGGAAUUAUUGGGCGUAAAGAGCUCGUAGGCGGUCUGUCGCGUCGGCUGUGAAAACCCGGGGCUCAACCCCGGGCCUGCAGUCGAUACGGGCAGACUAGAGUGCGGUAGGGGAGACUGGAAUUCCUGGUGUAGCGGUGAAAUGCGCAGAUAUCAGGAGGAACACCGGUGGCGAAGGCGGGUCUCUGGGCAGUAACUGACGCUGAGGAGCGAAAGCGUGGGGAGCGAACAGG
Molecule: ribosomal RNA, 253 nt
Filed under: uncultured bacterium
Lineage: Bacteria
Description: partial 16S ribosomal RNA
Rfam family: Bacterial small subunit ribosomal RNA
Source: RNAcentral